Long non-coding RNA from Columba livia (rock pigeon), 4676 nucleotides. RefSeq lists it as uncharacterized. The transcript has 3 exons. NCBI's taxonomy places the organism in Eukaryota, Metazoa, Chordata, Aves, Columbiformes, Columbidae. The record is from RefSeq and is a predicted model, not a curated record.
CGCGCAGGGCGAAGCCGGGCGGGGGCGGCUCGGCGGCGGGCGGCGCGGCGGGGCCGGGCCGGGGCGGUCCCCGCUGGCGGCGGGACUUGGCGCGCCGGUUCUGGAACCAGACCUGGGGAGAGAGGGCGGCGGUGAGGGCGGGCGGGGGCGGCCCCGGGCGGUGCGGGACAGCCGGCGCCGCUCACCUGGAUGCGGGACUCGGGGAUCUGCGUGGCGUCGGCCAGCUUCUCCCGGAGAUAAGACAGCAGGAGUCCUGGCAUGUACACAGCAGUCCAGGAGAAGCUGGAACCUGCUGAGACUGAAAAUCCUGACAGACCAAAGACUGAUCCCACAGAGCCUGAUGUUGCAUCUCUUUGGACAAAUGCUGAUCUUCCCACUGGCUGCAUGGAGCCAGCUCCUGCUUGAUUGACUGGGAUAAUUUCUAGCUGUGAGGUGAGAAGGUGCCCACACAAGCAAACUGCUGUACGUUGUGCUCUUUCCUCAUCAUAACAAAGUGUCCAGAACACGUGUGUGAGUGCUGAAUCCCUUCAUCUCAAGCAGGUCUUCGUGUUUGAGCUCUCCACAGCAGCAGGUGGCCAUUAACAGCCUAUAGCCAAGCCUGGGCCAUCCAUAGGUAUCCAUCAAAUGCCGCUGUAACUUGCCUGCGGCCCCAUUGCAGAAGGGAAGGUGCAUGACACAGGCUUGUUCCUAGAAGAUCCCUGUCCCAGAGCAGGAUCAGUGCCUGCUUCCUGCUCUGCAGGCCUCCAUCGCAUCUUGCAGCAAUGCAGCUUCACCAGAUUCCUUUGGCUAACCAGAGGGGAAGAGCUGGUUUCAGAUGGGAGUUUUACUUAGGACCACAUAAAAUGAGUAUGCACCAAGAGCUGCAGAAGGCCCCCCUGACCUCUGUUCUCUGUCCACAUUGCCCAGGUCAGUUCUCAAACUCUUGCUGGUGUUUUCAGCAGGUGCAGAAACCAUGGACCACAUCACACAGUAGGAAAGAAUUACUAAUUUUUUCUUCAUGUAGACGGGUAGAAUUCAUGAAGAAAAAGAAAAAGAAGAAGUCAUGAAGUGCUCUUUGGAAAACUUGCAGAAUAGCCACAGUGUAGAUAUUUUCAGCUAUUUUUGCUGGGUGAAGUUUGGGCCAUUUGGGAACUGACCAUUAAGCAUGGUAUAAAUAGGAAGGAGAAAUUUAAGUGGAAAAUACCUUUGCCAGCAGUGCCUCCAGUUGGCACAGCAGAUGUAAGUAAGGGAUGUACCUGCUUUGGCUGGCACUUUUUUUUUGGUGGGGAAAUGCCUCCAUUAGACCUAUUUAUUGGUUGACUACAUUAGCAAAAUACUCCUAGUGCGGCUUUUGUUAUAUAGCAAAGUGUUAUUUUCCACCUCCUUCCUGAAGAAAAUAAGCAGUGCUUCUAUGUGCUUGUUUGACUGAAAACCAGUUAAUUUUCUUUCAUGCAGUUAGAAACUUUUCUUUUCCAUAGCAGCAUGGUCAUUGUUUAGAUUAAGUUUGAGAACAAGAAGGUAACGCUCCAGGACAGAGUUAAUGUUUGUAAUUGCUCUGGUCUGGGAGCUGAGGCCUCUGAGCAUUGCCCACAGAUGUGAGACAUCGAGGAAGGGGGCAGAGAUGGGCCAGAGCUUGGCUGACAUCCACACUGAUCAAUAAGAGUAUUCCAUCUCAUCAGCAUCAUCCUGCAUAUUUGAGGAGAGUUGGGAUAUUCCACACAGGUUUUCUCAGAGCCAGGACUGAGACCAGUUUGGGGGAGUUCUGUUCAGGGCUUUCUUUAUUUUGGCCUUUUUCCAUCGUGCUGUUUUGCAGAGGCCUCUGGGCCUUCCUGCCUUUUUCUCUGUUCUGUCUCCAGGAUCGGCUGUUUGGGACCAGGUGCUGCUGCCUGCCACUGGCUGCUCAGUGUGGAUGGAAUUUGUGAGGAAUUGCAUUGAGUAUCUUAUUUUAUAUUCUAUUUUAUAUACAUAUAUAUUAUUAGUAGUAGUAUAUUGGUGUUAUUUUGUUAUUUUAUUAAACUGUGUUUGUCUCAAUCCACAGGUUUGUUCCUUCACUUUCAAUUCUCUUCCCUAUUCAGGGGCGGCAGGCGGGGGAGUGAGCGAGUGGCUGUCGUGGUUGUAUUGCUAGCUCAGGUUAAACCACGACAUUGUAAAAUCAGAGAUUCUUUUCUGUUAGAACCGCGUCUUUAUUACAGCACAGGAGAGCGGAGGGUAGUGCUGAUGUAACAUUGGGGGACGCUGGAGAGCAAAGAUCCCGGUUUCCCUGCAUGAAGCACAGGGGCUACAUGUGCCUCAGUGGGGAGAUGGUGGGACACUCUCCAGUGUGACAGUCACUCUCCGGUGUGACACUCUGUGCUGGGCCCCUUGUGUAGUGCCAGGUGGGAGCACAGGGUAAAGAGGGCAGCAGCAACCGUGGGCUGAGGCUGGAGGGGGCUGCUGUGGUUGCCGGUGUCACCUGUGUCAGCAGAAAUUCAUGUGACAUUUUGGGCAGGGGAAGGCAGCGCUGAUGUUUCCUGGCUGCUGCGCUGGGAGCGUGCCCAUAAGCUUGGCUACGAGGAUGAGACGUUUUCCAGCAUAGAGAAGGUUUGUGUCUGUGCAGUUUUAAGGUCAAAUUGUGCCAUUGCACCCUCAAAAGUCCAGCACAGGGCCACAAAGAUGAUGAAGGGAGUGGAGCAUCUCCCUUAUGAGGAAAGGCUGAGGGAGCUGGGGCUCUUUAGCUUGGAGAAGAGGAGACUGAGGGGUGACCUCACUCAUGUUUAUAAAUAUGGAAAGGGUGAGUGUCACGAGGAUGGAGCCAGGCUCUUCUCAGUGACAACCAAUGAUAAGACACGGGGCAAUGGGUACAAAUUGGAACACAGGAGGUUCCAAUUAAAUAUGAGAAGAAACUUCUUCUCAGUGAGGGUGCCGGAGCACUGGACCAGGCUGCCCAGGGGGGUUGUGGAGUCUCCUUCUCUGCAGACAUUCAAAACCUGCCUGGACACCUUCCUGUGUAACCUCAUCUGGGUGUUCCUGCUCCAGCGGGGAAUUUGAGCUGGAUGAUCUUUUGAGGUCCCUUCCAUUCCCUGACAUUCUGUGAGACAGUGAACAGUGGCAGAUUGUGAAAGGGGCAGUACCAGUAACUCUUGCCCAGAACAUUUUUGGCAGGCCAGCUAACCACCACCUGGGAGGGCUCUCAGACUGUGGUGAUGCUCUGUCUCCCCACAUUGUGCAGCCCCUCCUGGUGAAGACAGGCUAGACGGCCCUGGCUUGGCCUGUUAAAUGCGCUUCUUGCCAAGAUGCUGGGUCCCUGUGAGAUGAAACAGAGCAGGUCAGGGAAAGAGUAAGACAUCAAUAUUUUCCUGUGAAGUCUUUUAGGAUCUCAGAAGAAAACAUUGCUGAAAACCAAACAGUCUUUAGUCCCAGGCUCAGAGCGGGGGGUACCGUGUGUGUAAAGCUGGGAAAGGUACCUCAGGAACCCCAGGCCAUUCCCAUGGCAAAUGUCCACUAAUGUAGUGGUACAGAUAUUCAGACUCACAUGAGCAGAGCGUGGAUUUACAAGUUUUUGGGGAUAGACCUCAUACAAUUAGCACUGGUGAAACCUCUGCACUAAACCUUUAUUCAGCAGUGUUUUAGUCUUCCUUAUGUUAUUGUAUCCUAGUUUGCAUGUCUUGUAUCCUACAGGCAGUGCCCUAAGCAAUGGGCACAGACUGAAGCACAGGAGGUUCCAUCUGAAUAUGAGGAGAAACUUCUUUCCUUUGAGGUGCCAGAGCCCUGGAACAGGCUGCCCAGAGAGAUUGUGGAGUCUCCUUCACUGGAGACAUUUGAAACCCACCUGGACACCUUCCUGUGUGAUCUGCUCUGGGUGAACCUACUUUAGCAGUUCGAGAAGUUUUCUUCUUUAGACCUUCAGGACUUCCCACUCCUCCUGAGGGAUGUCUUCUCCUGACUCCUAGGUGACUGUUAGAAAAAUCAAAAAUGUUAUAUAUUUUGUAGUGCAUUAAAUUACUUACCUCUAAAUAAGUAUUAUUUUAAUCAGACCAGUUGCGUUGGGUACUCUUACUUAUUUUUGUGGCAUCUGGUAGUCCUAAUCAGGACCAGCCCCUUCCUGAUGUGACCACUAAAGCCUGGGGACUGAAUGAUUCUGUUAAAGUGAUCAACAGUGAGAUAACUACGCCUUGCACCAAACACAGGGAGGGGGUCAGAACGAACACCCACUGACCUGAAUGUGGCAUUUCACACCACAACGCUAAGGUUCAACCCGCAAAGGUUGCUACUGCCCUCUUUUUGAAUAGAGAGGAUCAGCAAGAACUGUCUGACCGUCCUGGCUAUCAGGUUACUGGGAGUUGCAGGGCACGCUACUGGUGAUGUUUGGGACCUGGUCUGGCAAGGAAUUUCCUUCUCCAGGUUUUCAUAGAACAACUUCGGUUGGAAGAGACCCUCAGGAUCAUCGAGUCCAACCAUAACCGAACUCUGGCACUAAACCAUGUCCCUAAGAACCUCGUUUAUAUGUCUUUUAAACACCUCCAGGGAUGGUGACUCCACCACUUCUCCAGAUUUUGAUCUGGAAUGGAACUUCAGUUGCUGUUGCGAAUAUCAGAGCCUGUUCUCUACCUGGAAGAUACUGUUUUGCUGUUGUGUAAAGGCUACUCAACCAUUACAGUGACGGGCACUCUGUGGAGGCCUGUAAUAAAGGCAACACACAAAACGAGAUAAUACAUUCA